UACGUAGGGUGCAAGCGUUAAUCGGAAUUACUGGGCGUAAAGAGCGUGUAGGCGGUUUGGUAGGUCCGUUGUGAAAACUCGAGGCUCAACCUCGAGACGUCGGCGGAAACCAUCUGGCUAGAGUCCGGAAGAGGAGAGUGGAAUUCCUGGUGUAGCGGUGAAAUGCGCAGAUAUCAGGAAGAAUAUCCGUGGCGAAGGCGGCUCUCUGGGACGGUACUGACGCUGAGACGCGAAAGCGUGGGGAGCGAACAGG
This 253-nucleotide ribosomal RNA is filed under the name uncultured bacterium. RNAcentral's name for it is "partial 16S ribosomal RNA". It matches the Rfam family "Bacterial small subunit ribosomal RNA", at positions 524 to 776 of the family's 1533-position model. The record is from RNAcentral.